RNAcentral lists this ribosomal RNA (279 nucleotides) under uncultured Oscillibacter sp. RNAcentral's name for it is "partial 16S ribosomal RNA". It matches the Rfam family "Bacterial small subunit ribosomal RNA", at positions 58 to 339 of the family's 1533-position model. The record is from RNAcentral. Lineage: Bacteria; Bacillati; Bacillota; Clostridia; Eubacteriales; Oscillospiraceae.
AUACAAGGCUUCGGCCAAGUUGAAGGGAUGACUUAGUGGCGGACGGGUGAGUAACGCGUGAGGAACCUGCCUUUCAUGGGGGACAACAGUUGGAAACGACUGCUAAUACCGCAUAAUGUGCCUUGGGGGCAUCCCCGGGGUACCAAAGCUUUAUGUGCUGAAAGAUGGCCUCGCGUCUGAUUAGAUAGUUGGUGGGGUAACGGCCCACCAAGUCGACGAUCAGUAGCCGGACUGAGAGGUUGAACGGCCACAUUGGGACUGAGAUACGGCCCAGACUCC